RNAcentral lists this transfer RNA (74 nucleotides) under Actinomycetes bacterium. RNAcentral's name for it is "Actinobacteria bacterium tRNA-Ile". It matches the Rfam family "tRNA". From Rfam's summary of the family: Transfer RNA (tRNA) molecules are approximately 80 nucleotides in length. Their secondary structure includes four short double-helical elements and three loops (D, anti-codon, and T loops). Further hydrogen bonds mediate the characteristic L-shaped molecular structure. tRNAs have two regions of fundamental functional importance: the anti-codon, which is responsible for specific mRNA codon recognition, and the 3' end, to which the tRNAs corresponding amino acid is attached (by aminoacyl-tRNA synthetases). tRNAs cope with the degeneracy of the genetic code in two manners: having more than one tRNA (with a specific anti-codon) for a particular amino acid; and 'wobble' base-pairing, i.e. permitting non-standard base-pairing at the 3rd anti-codon position. RNAcentral also lists the same sequence under 1 other name. The record is from RNAcentral. Lineage: Bacteria; Bacillati; Actinomycetota; Actinomycetes.
AGGCACGUGGCUCAACGGGAGAGCAUCCGUCUGAUACGCGGAAGACGAUGGUUCGACUCCAUCCGUGCCGACCA